RNAcentral lists this ribosomal RNA (468 nucleotides) under uncultured bacterium. RNAcentral's name for it is "partial 16S ribosomal RNA". It matches the Rfam family "Bacterial small subunit ribosomal RNA", at positions 28 to 507 of the family's 1533-position model. The record is from RNAcentral.
GACGAACGCUGGCGGCGUGCUUAACACAUGCAAGUCGAACGGAAAGGCCCUGCUUUUGUGGGGUGCUCGAGUGGCGAACGGGUGAGUAACACGUGAGUAACCUGCCCUUCACUUUGGGAUAACUUCAGGAAACUGGGGCUAAUACCGGAUAGGAGCUCCUGCUGCAUGGUGGGGAUUGGAACUUUUGGGCGGUUGGGGCUGGACUGGCGGCUUAUCAGUUUGUUGGUGGGGUAGUGGCUUACCAAGGCUUUGACGGGUAGCCGGCAUGGGAGGGUGACCGGCGACAUUGGGACUGCGAGACGGCCCAGACUCCUACGGGAGGCAGUGGUGGGGAAUAUUGCACAAUGGGCGGAAGCCUGAUGCAGCAACGCCGCGGGCGGGAUGACGGCCUUCGGGUUGUAAACCGCUUUCGCCUGUGACGAAGCGUGAGUGACGGUAAUGGGUAAAGAAGCACCGGCUAACUACGUG